This 155-nucleotide ribosomal RNA is filed under the name uncultured bacterium. RNAcentral describes it as "partial 16S rRNA". It matches the Rfam family "Bacterial small subunit ribosomal RNA", at positions 355 to 507 of the family's 1533-position model. The record is from RNAcentral.
UAAGGAAUAUUGGUCAAUGGACGCAAGUCUGAACCAGCCAUGCCGCGUGAAGGAUGAAGGUCCUCUGGAUUGUAAACUUCUUUUAUAGGGGACGAAAAAAGGGAAUUCUUUCUCACUUGACGGUACCCUAGGAAUAAGCACCGGCUAACUCCGUG